Poecilia reticulata (guppy) is the source of this 1346-nucleotide non-coding RNA. The record is from RefSeq and is a predicted model, not a curated record. Lineage: Eukaryota; Metazoa; Chordata; Actinopteri; Cyprinodontiformes; Poeciliidae.
AAAGAGACACCAGAGAAAUGGGAUAUAUGUCAGUCCACACACACAAUCACACGGAGAGGCAUCAUAAUCAUGGACGCUCACGGACUCAUGAGAAAGAGGGAGAGAGAGAUGGAUGUUUACUUUCCUCUGAGCUUCCGCCUCUUUGAUUGGACAGAUGAAUGACUUCAUUGUGUCUGUGUUUCCUCCUCUCUCUCUCUCUCUCUCUCUCUCUCUCUGUUCCUCUUUUCAACAUGGAGAUGGAAAAUAAAGACGGACAGAGAGACAGAGGAAGGGUGAGUGAAACCCUGGAACCAUGAAGAAAGUCCCACCUACCAAGAUGGCGGUUCGGAGUUCCGUGCCUCUGGUAAGGCACAGACCUGACCAGAGGUGGAUGGGAGAACUCAGAUUUUACGUCUUUCCAUCUUCUGGUUUGGAGCAAAUCAACCAGGCUGGUGUAGAAAUGACUGCAGCCAGAGAAACCGUCCAGAUGAGCCCGAAACGUCUCCAGGUGAUGAGAUGUUCUACAGCCACAGAGUGGCGAUAGACAACAACCCAUCCUCCUUCAUCUCUCACCUACUCCAAGCCUUCAUCUCUCCCUGCUGCCUGGGCUGCUCCCUCUGCAAACCAGACACAUCUGGGGAGGGAAGAAAGACGUUUCUGGCAGCAAACCGGAGCCGUUUUACUGGGGAAGAUGGAGAGCUUUAAAGAGGGCGAAACGGAGGAGGAAGAGGAGGAGGAGGAAGAGGAGGCAUUAGAAGAAUGUCAAUAUGAUUGGAGGAAGAGGAGUGUGUGUUCGCUGCGCGUUCAGCAACAAUAGCUCUCCAGCCGUGUUGUUCCAUGUGCAUUCACAUGAUCCAUUAUUACCUCUGACAUGUACCGCUGGGCGAGCGAGGGAGAGAGAGGGAGAAAGAGAGAGAGAGAGAGAGAGAGAGAGAGAGAUGACUGAGAGGAAUAAAGAAGAGACAGAGAUGCACCUGUGAUUGUAGGUCACACACCAAGGAUCCACAGCAACGCAACUCGGUCAAUUAUUAGCCGAAAACCGACCGUCUGUCGUCUGCAACAACAAAAAAAGCCCAACUGGGACCAGAACCAGAGUUCCCAACAAAAGGAGAAAUUCCCAGGACUUUCCAGGACGAUUCCAGGAUGAUUCCAGGAUUACAGUGAAGCCUCAUUAUGUUUUACACCUGAUUUAUUUUAUCAGGGAGGAAGAAAAGGAAGAAUCUGCAGAGCAUUUCUAAAAGAUUCUCCAGAUUUGAAUGAAGGAAGAAAGAAAAUAAAAAAAUAAGGUUUGAGGGAAGGAUGGACAAAGGAAAGGAAGGAAGGACAGAAUGUUAAGGUAUGAUGGAAAGAAGAACUAAAAGAUAGAA